Molecule: non-coding RNA, 26 nt
Filed under: Homo sapiens (human)
Lineage: Eukaryota; Metazoa; Chordata; Mammalia; Primates; Hominidae
Source: RNAcentral
UCCAAUUGGACCUUGGGUGACACUGC